ACUCAUAUAAUGAGUUACUUUAGAUUCCGCUUCAAGACAUAUUGGGUGUUGCAAGCCCGAGUUUUUGAUGCU
Molecule: small nucleolar RNA, 72 nt
Organism: Quercus robur (English oak)
Lineage: Eukaryota; Viridiplantae; Streptophyta; Magnoliopsida; Fagales; Fagaceae
Product: small nucleolar RNA snoR60
Exons: 1
Source: RefSeq, a predicted model, not a curated record